AUAACACUUGGAAACAGGUGCUAAUACCGCAUAACCAUAACAACCGCAUGGUUGUUAUGUAAAAGAUGGUUUUGCUAUCACUUUUGGAUGGACCCGCGGCGUAUUAGCUAGUUGGUAAGGUAAAGGCUUACCAAGGCGAUGAUACGUAGCCGAACUGAGAGGUUGAUCGGCCACAUUGGGACUGAGACACGGCCCAAACUCCUACGGGAGGCAGCAGUAGGGAAUCUUCCACAAUGGACGAAAGUCUGAUGGAGCAACGCCGCGUGAGUGAAGAAGGUCUUCGGAUCGUAAAACUCUGUUGUCAGAGAAGAACGUGUGCGAGAGUAACUGUUCGUGCAGUGACGGUAUCUGGCCAGAAAGCCACGGCUAACUACGUGCCAGCAGCCGCGGUAAUACGUAGGUGGCAAGCGUUGUCCGGAUUUAUUGGGCGUAAAGGGAACGCAGGCGGUCUUUUAAGUCUGAUGUGAAAGCCUUCGGCUUAACCGAAGUCGUGCAUUGGAAACUGGGAGACUUGAGUGCAGAAGAGGAGAGUGGAACUCCAUGUGUAGCGGUGAAAUGCGUAGAUAUAUGGAAGAACACCAGUGGCGAAAGCGGCUCUCUGGUCUGUAACUGACGCUGAGGUUCGAAAGCGUGGGUAGCAAACAGGAUUAGAUACCCUGGUAGUCCACGCCGUAAACGAUGAGUACUAGGUGUAAGGAGGUAUCGACCCCUUCUGUGCCGCAGCAAACGCAAUAAGUACUCCGCCUGGGAAGUACGAUCGCAA
This 763-nucleotide ribosomal RNA is filed under the name uncultured bacterium. Its description in RNAcentral is "bacterial SSU rRNA". It matches the Rfam family "Bacterial small subunit ribosomal RNA", at positions 143 to 891 of the family's 1533-position model. The record is from RNAcentral.